GAUGAAGAACGUAGUGAAAUGCGAUAAGUAAUGUGAAUAGCAGAAUUCAGUGAAUCAUCGAAUCUUUGAACGCACAUUGCGCCCGCUAGUAUUCUGGCGGGCAUGCCUGUCCGAGCGUCAUUUCAACCCUCAAGCCCCCGGGCUUGGUGUUGGGGAUCGGCGAGCCUCCGCGCCCGCCGUCCCCUAAAUCUAGUGGCGGUCUCGCUGUAGCUUCCUCUGCGUAGUAGCACACCUCGCACUGGGAAACAGCGCGGCCACGCCGUUAAACCCCCAACUUCUGAACGUUUGACCUCGGAUCAGGUAGGAAUACCCGCUGAACUUAAGCAUAUCAAUAAGCGGAGGA
Molecule: unclassified non-coding RNA, 343 nt
Filed under: soil metagenome
Description: partial contains 5.8S ribosomal RNA, internal transcribed spacer 2, and large subunit ribosomal RNA
Rfam family: 5.8S ribosomal RNA (bases 1-120)
Source: RNAcentral